GGUUCCGUAGUGUAGUGGUUAUCACGUUCGCUUUACACGCGAAAGGUCUCCGGUUCGAUCCCGGACGGAACCA
This is a non-coding RNA of Trichonephila clavata, 73 nucleotides long. Lineage: Eukaryota; Metazoa; Arthropoda; Arachnida; Araneae; Nephilidae. The record is from the annotation of a GenBank genome assembly.